Non-coding RNA from Thamnophis sirtalis, 246 nucleotides. The record is from RefSeq and is a predicted model, not a curated record. Lineage: Eukaryota; Metazoa; Chordata; Lepidosauria; Squamata; Natricidae.
UUGCCGGGAAGUUGGGACAGAUGAAUGGCAAACAGUCAACAACAAACCUGUCACUUCUCAUGAAUUUACUGUUCCGGGACUCAAAACUGGUAAACAAUAUGUCUUCUGUGUCAAAUGUGUCAAUGAAGCUGGUGUAGGAGAAAGCUCCCCAGAAUCUGAUCCCAUUGUUGUGAGACAGGCAAUCUCUCUUCCAUCCACCCUACGAGAUUUUGCCCUGCUGAACUGUGGGAAGGACACCAUGACCAU